GGCUAGUUAGCUCAGUCAGUUGAGCAUGGCCCUAACAAUGCCAAGGACACGGGUUCUAUUCCCGUUUGGUCC
This 72-nucleotide transfer RNA is filed under the name Apaloderma vittatum (bar-tailed trogon). It matches the Rfam family "tRNA". Rfam says of the family: Transfer RNA (tRNA) molecules are approximately 80 nucleotides in length. Their secondary structure includes four short double-helical elements and three loops (D, anti-codon, and T loops). Lineage: Eukaryota; Metazoa; Chordata; Aves; Trogoniformes; Trogonidae. The record is from Rfam by way of RNAcentral.